AUGUCUCGGCUGCUCCUGGCGGCCGCCGUGGCCACGUUGGUGCUCGCCGCCGGAGCAUUCGAGAUCAAGGAGGCGACCCUGGCCAGCAUCCAGCUCGGCUUCAAGAACGGCAGCCUCACCUCCGUGGAUCUCGUCCGGCUCUACCUGGACCGCAUCAGCCGCCUCAACCCGCUCCUCCGCGCCGUCAUCGAGGUCAACCCAGACGCGCUCCACCAUGCCGCUCGUGCGGACGCCGAGCGCCGCUCAGCCUCCUCCAUCAAAUACCUCGCUGGCGGCGGGCUCCUGCACGGCGUCCCUGUCCUCCUCAAGGAUAACAUCGCCACGCACGACGCGCUCAACACCACGGCCGGCUCCUUGACGCUGCUGGGGUCCGUGGCGAGGCGGGACGCCGGCGUGGUGCGCCGGCUCCGCCUGGCCGGCGCGGUGGUGCUCGGCAAGGCCAACCUGGACGAGUGGGCCAACUUCCGCAGCCUGCAUGGCUCAGACGGCUGGAGCGCGCGCGGCGGCCAGGCCCGGAAUCCGUACGUGCUCUCGGCUGAUCCGUGCGGGUCGAGCGGGGGUCCGGCUAUCGCCGCGGCGGCAAACAUGGUCGCGGUGACGCUGGGAACGGAGAGGGACGGCUCCAUACUCUGCCCGGCGUCGCUGAACUCGGUGGUGGGGAUCAAACCGACGGUGGGGUUGACCCGAGCCGGAGUCAUCCCCAUCACACCACGGCAAGACACGAUCUGCACGGUGGCAGAUGCAGUCCAUGUGUUGGACGCCAUUGUUGGCUACAAUGCUCGGGAUGCAGCAGCCACGAGGAAAACUUCCAAAUACAUUCCCCAUGGCGGGUAUAUGCAGUUCUUAAACAUGGACGGAUUAAAGGGGAAGAGAAUCGGUGUCCCCAACGGCUUCUUCAACUUCCCGAAUGGGACUGUGCAGCACAUGGUUACCGGCAACAUCUCAACACAAUGA
RNAcentral lists this ribosomal RNA (954 nucleotides) under Triticum aestivum (bread wheat). RNAcentral's name for it is "partial small subunit ribosomal RNA". Lineage: Eukaryota; Viridiplantae; Streptophyta; Magnoliopsida; Poales; Poaceae. The record is from RNAcentral.